GGCACACACACACAGGAGUGGACAAGGCAGGUGUAUGUUAGAAAAUAGUGGUCUCGUACUUGGUGUUGACUCCUCUCUUCGCCUCCUGACCAGGCUCCACAAUCCAUGGCACAUUGGCAUGGCCCUUCUGGUCCAUGGACGGCUGCUCCAUCUAGUGCAGAAAAAGAGAAGACAGCAAAGGCUGCAGACCCGAGGACUACAAUGCCAGAAAAUUAGCAUCGAUAUUGCAUCCUCUCAGUGGAAUUAACUGAAGUCUGAGCAGUCACGCCGAGGUUUCAUGCAUUCUGCUCGACAGGUAACAACAUUUAGUAUAAUUUUUUUUAAACUAGCAACACAUUUCCUGUUUUUACUAUGUCUGCUUCACUCCCAACUAGGGUUGUCACGGUAACCGGUGUAGCGGUAAACCCCGGUAAAAAGGUUGACAAUAAUAAUAACCGUCUUGCUUUAAAAAUAAAAAUAUAUUAUCUCGGUGGAAUACUGUGGCUGUGGUGUAGGCGCAGUGACCCUUCCCAGCCACCGUAUCAUCUGCUGAAGUUGCCGGUGGCACAUGCGCACUUUGUUGUUUACAACCAAAACUUUCUUGAAGCUAAAGCUGAAAUAAUGGCCAAAGGAGGAGACGGCAGCGCUCAGGACAUUUAUUAUCCCUCAAAGAAGACAAAGUGGGAAGUACGGGUAUUUUUUGGAUAUUUGAAGAAUGCUGAGGGGCAGCUGAUAGAAGACGGCUAUCCUGUUUGCAGCACGUGCAGAAGAAGUGUCUGUGAAAGGCAGCAACGCUUCAAAUCUCAUGACACAUCUGCGUGACCAUCACCCACAACUCUACAGUCAACGCAAGGCAAGCUAACGUUAGCGUUUUAGCUAAAAUGCGUGAUCCGAGGAUUUGGGUUGAGGGAGAAAGCAACGAGUCGCUAUAUAAAGCAGCUGCAGUGCCGCUACCUGCAUAUAAACCGUGUCGUGGACACCCCCAUGUUGAGAUGACGCUAUGCAUUACGGGGCUCCCAGGGGCAGAUAAGAGUUGGUCUCUCUCCGAGAAUAAUUAUGAAUUUAACAAUGAUUACUGCCUGAUGACAUUUUCCCACAUCUGCAAAGCUCACUGGAAGGAUACAAACUGAGGACAAUAUUUUCCUGAUAUAGGGUUUAUUACUCAAGUAAGAGUAAAAAAAAGUAUCUGAUUAGAAGGCUACUUGAGUACUGAGUAUCAUCUGAUCUAAUAUUUUUUAAAUGAUGUCAUCAAACAGACAAAAAAAAGUUAUGGGCAAAUAUUGGUAUUUUAAAGACUAAAGGGGAAAAAUGUAAACAAAUUAUUAAGAUAAUUAUAUGUGUUUUCUUUUAUCAUGCUUUAAGCUUUUAUUACAUUUAAAAAUUUUACCAUUUUUGCUUAAACAGUUGCUGUAUUGUUUUGAAAUUUCCUCAUGAGACUUUAAGAAUGCUGAGUCUUGAUCCUGACCUAAUGUGACCCAAAGGACAGCUGCUGACUCGUGCAACUGUUUGUUGCACAUCGUAUGAUUAAACACUGAUUAGCACUGAACGGUCUUUGUGUGAAACUUGUAACAAUUAAAAACUGAGAGCUGUGUUUUCCUCCUCCCUUCAGAUCAGCUCAUCAGUCAUGUAUCUAGGGACCCUCCCAGCUUGUAAUAAAAGUACACGCUCAGAUCUCAAAGGUAGAAUGGAUUGGAGGAACUGUCAGCUCAGUGGAGACUGAGUUGGUGAGGCCUUAUUCCAUUCUCCUCGAGCAUAAAACAGAAUUCUGACUUCUGUGUCUCUUUUCUUCCUUGUGUACGGUGUCUAGGGGGUUUAAACCUGACAUUAAUAAACAACAUCAUUACAAAAUAACAAAUUUUAGGUUAAAUUUAGACCAAACUGAGGACAAUAUUUUCCUGAUAUACAGGGUUUAUUUAGUUGUCUGAAAAUGUAACCCGUUUAAAAAAAUACCGCGAUAAUACCGAAAACCGUGAUAAUUUUGGUCAUAAUAACCAUGAGGUUAAAUUUUUGCACCCUGACAACCCUACUCCCAACAAUGUUUGUCUACUAUUUGUGUUGCCUUAAGCUUGGUUUAUGCUUGACGCGUCCGCGAGGUCUGCACGCUCCGCGCGGCAAAAUUGCGUCAUUUUAACAACCACACCCCUCCACAGCGCCUCUGCACGGCCCAAACUUUCCACACCGCGCACCUAGGAAAUUUUCUAACCACGCGGACGAUCGGACGUGGCAAAACAUGGCGUACUGGCAAGAACUAGUAUGGCAGAGGUUCGUAAAUACAGACAUUUGUAUGAUUCAGCUCUCAAAGAUCACCGUGAUCAACAUGUUGUUAAUAAUUCUUGGAGAGAAAUAGCUCGCACUGUCGGAAAAGACGAGAACGCUGUUAAAAAAUGCUGGAAUGCCAUGUUACUUCUACUAUGGUGUAGUGUUGGAUGCAUGCCGUAGAGCUCCAUGCUGCCCCGUUCAGUUUGGGAGAAUAUUGGCUCACCGCAGAGACAAGCCGCAUGAACCAUAAACGCUGCAAGUUGUGAAGCGCGUUCCAUCCGCGAGCCGCAUCACCAAGUGGAAAGUAAAUGUGUCGAGCAUAAACCAAGCUUUAGGCUAACCAGGAAAAAUACCUACCAUAGCAGAGUGGAACGCACUUCAUUUGAGCAUUUGAUUUUCUAACGUGCAUGCAAACUAGGAAAAAGGCUCCCAGUUUAUAGAUGUAGAUCCUCUUAGAUGUGCAUGUAAACGCACUGACUGAGUCCAAUGCUUGCGAGGUGGUUGUAGUUUGGUCAAUAUUGGGCUAGUAUUUUAUAAUUAUUAUUUUAUAAUUAAACAGGUUGGCAUUAAAAGCAACACUACAAAAUAUAACCGCGAAGACAAACUGAUGAACAGUGAGAAACGGCCACAGCAAACGUGAGAAUGAGAAUUGGGCUGAAAACCAUCAAACCACUUACACAUGUGGUUUUCUGCACGUGUUAAAAUAUGUGGAAAUGAAGAACAGAAGAAGGAAAAGUGUGGAAGACCUGUAACUGAGCUUUGUAAGGAAGAUGGAAGAGUCGAGGGGGUGGAAGAGGAGGGUAGAGAGGAGGCCGGUGAGGGGUGUAAAUGUGACCCAAUGACCAGCGGCUGGUGGGAGAUUUGAUGACCUACAGGGGCAGAGGUCAUACUUGUCAAAGUGAACUAACUCAACGUCACUGACAUCAACAAAGCAGCACUGCAAAACCACAGCAAUGACACAGCAGCCGCAUGGCAACAAGGAAAGGCAACAGCACUCCAAAAUCAAAGCAAAAACCAUGGCAACAACACGAUCGCCCUGGCAACAGCAUGGUACAGCAGUGUCACGCCACAUUAAAUUAGCAACCACUGCAUAGCAACAACACCUCAAUAUGAGCUUAGCACAACAAAACAGAGUUUAGGAAACUGGUCCUUUCAAGACUAUUUUAAGAUUUCCCACUAGCCCAACUACUCAGAAACUGGUGAUUAGCAAAAAUAAUAAAUGCCAUUUUUGAGUGCACAUUUUAUUUAUACCGAAACACGCCGAUGCUACAUUAAAGUUAUGAUUAAAAAAAAAAAAGUUACCAUGACGGAUCAAAGCUGCUUUGCAACAAGCUAUUUCUGAUCCACGGGCAAGCUUUUUCCACCUGCUCUUCAAAAUAGAAGUCAGUGUUUUUCAGGCUCAUGGAUGGCGAUGCUUCUUUAAAAUUGUCCUGCUCAGAGACAACAAAGUUAUAUUAGGCCUGUUUAGCUCGAUAGGGUGGGUUAAAUUUAAGUGUCGAAAAUGUAAACAACCAAAAUUCUAAAAAGCUCAAAGGGACAGAAACAAAAACAACUACAGUUUACUGUAAAGCAUAAGGAGGUGCUGCAGAAUGGUGAUUAUGGCUGGUUGGCAGCAGGAAUAUUAAAUGAAUCCUGCAGUGUAUAUGCCCCGCUGCACACCACAAGCCAUCAACUCCUCCAUACACACAUAUGGGAACGUAGGGGGAAAAGAAAAAGCAAUUAAUGGUUAAUGUAAUGGUUGCAGACUCAGCAGAUUGUGUACAUAUGCCGUCGUCCAUCAUCUGUUAGAAUACAACGACUUAAAUACCGUCUCCCCUUCAUGUUGUCUCCCCGGGAUGCUCUUUCAUCACCGUCUUGCAUCUAACUUUAAAGAGUGAGGCCAUUCUUCUGAAGCCGCCACCACGGUCUCUUUCAUGACUCAUGCUAUAUAUAUAUGAUUCAUAUUAAUAGAUAUGAAACUUGUUUAGAGUGCUGUUAUAGCAACCCCAGUAAAAUGAUCCUGGGUCUGCUGAGCCAGAUGAGGCGUCGCCGACGGAGAAGGAGGGAACCACAGGCAGGAUGAGCCACUGUGACUAUUUUAAAGCUUUGUCAGGGGUUAAUGGAGUGUUGACAAAUUUGCUAAUAAAAGUUGACACCGUGACUACAGGAGGCAUGACGCACAUAAAAAUGCUAAUACAGCAAAGCGGAGGCUAGUUAUAAUAGCAGACCACUUUAUACGAAGCAGCAAAAGUUUCUUAUUUCUAAUGCGGGGCCAAAACUAAGAUUUCCCUUCUGUUUCUACUGGAUUACUGCAACCCCACAAAAUCUCGUUUUAGGAACAGGGUGCCCUGCACACGACAGCAGCAAUAAUGAUGAGAAGGCAUGCCCUUCUCCACACACAGACCCAAAGUGAGCAAGCAGGCCUUGCUGGAGCGCUAUGCAAACAGACUUCAUCAAUCAACCAGAUGUGUAAGAGACUACAGGGAGAACAAGACCAAAUAGACGCUUAACAGAUCCACAUAGACCCUUGCCACUUUGUCCACUGGGCCAAGACUCACACAGAAAGACACAAGCAGCCAGAAUAAUGUUAGUAAACCAAGCUUCCAGUGGGAUAUGGUGUAAGUGAGCAGGAACCGUAGACUGGGAUGGAUCAUUAUGGUUGUUUUUAUGGACCGAGUCAAGUGAAAAUGGGGGGAAUGCUGGUUAGUGUUGAUCAGAAGCUAAUAUAAAAAUGCUAAACUUGAGUUCACGGGUUAAAAAAGCAACAUCAGAAAUGAAAAUUCAUCCCAAAAGACAUUAUUUAUCAUUUGAUUACAUAAAAAUUCAGAUAACUGUUUGCUAAAAGAUUUUCUUUUCUUUUCUUUUUAUUUGAACCUAUCUGAACAAAACCUUUUGGAAAAUGUAGUGAUUUCUUUAUUCAGGAUGGAUUUUCUCUCAGUCAGCAUUGCUUACUGAAUUGAUGCUUACUGAUUUGCGGAUGUUGAUGCGGGGUUUGGGGAUGGGUUUGCCAGGCUUGCUGUCAAAGCUUUCUGGAAGCGUUGAUGAUCCGUGGCCGCUCUUCCUGGCCUGCAGGGCCAGCUGGUAGGCCACCUCGAAGGCCUGGCCAAGUGUCAGGAUGAUCUCAUAGGCCAGAUUCUAACAAGACAUGAAAAGGAAACAGCUGUGAGGAUACAGCGUAAAACUCUGACGCGCCUUUAAGUGUCAACACUGACCACGUCAAAAGCAGUGAAGACGUGGCAGUAGUGGUGACUGGAUUUGAGGUCUUUGGUGAUGUAGGCAAAUGUAGACAGAUCCUCUGGAUCCUGAGCAGCACAUGAGAUGUUACGGAUCUCGUGCUCUGCUAUGAUGUUCUGUAGAGAGACAAAGGGAAAGAUAAAAAGAUGCAGAAACUGUGCUGAUGCUGAGCUUCAGCAUGGAAAAACAAACCAGGACAGAACUCUCAGUUCAAAGCUUUCUAGAGAAGUUGUCGGAGUGGCCAAUCCAUAACUUUCCUCUUCAGCUGAAAGAACCUGACGACAAGCUGGAUAAAUCUGCUGCCACGGUUCCUUUCAGAAUAAAAGCUGAACCAUCACGACCCCAUUUUGGGUCUUGGUAGAUGCCAAUAAAACUGUCGUGACCCGGAAGUAUCUCAAGACUGGUCUGGUCGGCAACCGCUGCUUUUCUACCGGCAUCGGUUCCAGAGGAGGUCAAGCUGGACCUCGACAUUCCUGAUCUAACGGGGACUUCCGCCAAGGGUACGUAGGCUGGCAGAAUGGCGUCUCAAUGUGUGUUAUAAAUCUCCAAACCAAAAGCUUAGCGCGAAACGUCAUCUUCACUCCCAUCAGAACUAAUCGUUUCUCCAGAUUUGCUGGUUCUGAACAUUUCACACAUACACCAUCCUCAGUCUUACUUCACCUUAGUUACACCAUACACCUAGUGUUUAAAGUUAGUCUUGUUUUAAUUUGUUUAGUAAUAAAUCUUUAAAACUUGACUCUUUGUCUCUGAGUUAACAUGAAGUGGUUACAUAAUCCCUGCAAUAAAAAGUUCCAAUCUUCUGGUUUAAGUUAUCCAAAGAUCCAUAAGAUUGUUUUCAUAUUUCCUAUGGAAUUUCACAUCUUAUGGUUCAUUAAAUAAUAUGUAAAUUUAAUCGUUACACAGGAACUGUGCUGAUGCUGAGCUUCAGCAUGGAAAAACAAACCAGGUUUAUUAUUCAUCCCUAAACCACAUUAUUAUUGCAUGGCAUUGGUUGAGUUGGAGUACAUCCUCUGGUUAUGUCACUACAGAACUCUCAGACUUUGUUUAGUGGUGAUUAAAGCCCAUUUUGCUGCAGUGAAUUAAAGAACAUCAAAACCCAGAAGUUUUCCAGUUUCAAACUUUUGUGCUGAGAGUCUGAAAAUCCAACAAAACUGGAAGUGCACUACAUCUCAGAAGAAGAGUAUAAGCAUUUAACCGUUAACUCAUAUUAAAAAUGCACCAGAAAUCUGCUGCAAGCGUUGCAAAACUAAAAGCGAAUCUAAAAUGUAACGAUUUAGUCCUACUUUUGUCUCGGUUUCAUAUCUGUGAAGCUGCAGCAGAGACCAGACAUCAACACUUUUAUGCUGUUCAGACAUUACACCUCAGAAUGUCACUCAUGCUCAGUGACCUUUCACAUGUUGUUUGUUGUAGGCGUCGCUGGCGCCGUGCAUGUUACCUUAUUGGUGGCAUCGAUGAACUUCACUCCUUUGUAGGACACCGAGAGCACGAUGGUCGGUACCUUCUUCAUCUGUUCUGUCGACUUCUUGGAGAGCGGCAGAAACAAAAUGUAGAGACAAAAAGAAGAGAGAAGCAACGGUGACUCUUGAACUCGUGACUUUUCAAAGAGUUUAUUAUUGCUACAUGAAUCCGCCUUAAAAGGAAAGAAAAAAUAAACAGAAAGGAAGGGAAAGAUAAAAAGUCUGAUCAUCUAUUGAUUCCCUCUAUUAAAAUACAACCAUUAAUACAACCAAAUUAACUGCAUUGAUGCAGAUUCAAUAAUACUUGAAGUUACAUCAGACUCCUACAGUACAUCUCGUUUGAUUCCAUACCUAUAUGGAAGGCAUUAUGCAGUGAGGAGCUGUGAAUUUACAGAGAUUACCCACCCAGCUGUCCUCCUACCUGCCAAAAGCUUUGAUAUAUUCAAGGAUGGGAGCCAAGUCCCCUUUCUGCCUUCUCUCGUUUUCUUCCCCUCUCAGUUCUCCUAUUUAAACGUCUGUCAGCUAUCUUUUCUGUAUCUGUUUGUUUGCCUUGUUCGGUUCUUUCCUCCCUCCUGGCAUGCCGACCCUGUCAGGAUCAGCUAAUGCUGGAAAAACUGCAAAGGCAGAUGCAGAGCCAGUGAGUGAAGCUGGAAUUCAAACAUCCACAUCUGCCUCCAUUAUUGUGAAAGGAUGAAUAAAUAAAUGAGUAGAGCCAGGCGAAGGUAAAGAAAGAAGGUUCAUUAGGAAUGCUCUAGGACAAAGUGAUGAGAUAUUCACCUCACUGCACUUCAUUACAACCUCUGCGUGCUCCAAGGGUGUGUCAGGAGGAAAGAUGCCCUCUGAUGAAGCAAUAAAUACAGGGAAUGGCAGAAGCAGAGACUAGAAUGCUUCGCUCAUGAAUAUUAAAAUUGAUCUUUACUUUGCAGCGGCUCAGAAUGAGUGUGAAAAGAGCCGAGGGCCAAAGGGGAGUAGUGUUACAGUUAAAUACAGAAGGCGUGAGCAGGGAGAGAAGAAAAAGGAGAGACUUGAAAAGAUAAUGUAAUAGGAGGUAAAAGGUGGAUUGAGGAGGAUCAAGAAAACCAUAAAAACAAGUCUAAAUAAAUCCCUCAGUGCUUUUUAAUCUCCCUACAUGACACUUCAGGCUCGUCUCGAGAAAGGUUUAAGGGAACACAAAAGGUGGCGUGCGUUAGACUGAGCUUUACCCUCAUCUUGGCACAGGCGUCUUGCGUGGACUCUAUUCCUCUCAGCUCUUUCACCAGCAUGGAGCCCAGGUACUGGUAACGAGACACAAACAGGAGCUGGGGUAAAUACACACUCAAGAGGAAAAGCAUGUCCACAACAGGUUUUACUGAAACCAGCAGCACAGUCUCCUCUGUAGGAUUUACAAUAAAUCUGAGCCUACGUGUUAUUCCCCAACCAGGAUACACCUACAUUCCAUCUGCAGGUGGAGUCAUCCUGGGUGAACCUUCAGAGCCGUUUGGAUGAAGAUGAGUCUGAUCAAUACCAGUAUCGGUAAAAGUUAACCGAUACCAGGAACCGAUACCAAUGCAGUUGCUUGAAAAUGGCUUCACUGUAACUUGUCGUUUCUGUUCACGUAAUAUUUUAGUUUUGUGAUGAUUUCCAUUCAUAUAUUUUACUUUUUAUCUACCUCACAUUCUUUUCCUGUUGAAAACAGAGAAGAAAAUAAAAUCUGUAUUUCAAAUCAUAGCUUUUUUUUGUGUGGUAGAAGUAUCGGUAUUGGAAAUCGGUAUCGGCGAGUACCCAGAUCCAAGUAUCGGUAUCGUAUCGGUUAGGGAAAAAGUGGCAUUGUUGCAUCCCUACCAGAAACCUCAGAUGCUGAACGCAACGUCCUGUUGCCACUUUUUUUCCUUUUUUUUUUUUGACAGCUGCUGCACCACCACAGACUCAGGCACUUACACCAAUCAGCCAUGGCAUUAUGACCACUGAUGAAUAAACUAAGUCAUGCUUCUUAACACAUUCAUCUGAUGAGAGAAUCUGAACCAGUAGGCCUCCAAAUGUUCCUAAUAUCAGGCUGAUAGCAUCUGUAGGAUGUGAAUGCAGUCUACGAUCCAGGAGGCUCAUAAACUUUCAUACUAGCUAACUGGAAAAGGGUUUAAAAUAAAAAGUUUACACGUCUUUACGUGUUUCUGUCUUGAUGAAGGAAGCUUCCAUUAAGUUUUGCUAGAGCUUUUAUAAUAAGACACAAACACACAGGGUGGUGGUGACACCAGCCUUGAGAGGCUCCCAGAGGUCCAUUAAUGCUGCUGAUCCUUCCGUCAGGAUGUGACUUUACGAUAUCUGAUUUAAUAAAGAAGCUACUAAUGGUGCCAUUUUACAGCAGCUAUGUUGAUGUCAACAAAAGAGCACUUAAUGGAUGACACUCACCACCUCACAGUCUCUGUCCUGCCUAUGGAAGGGACCUUAGUCCCUAAAGUGGGAUCCUAACAAGGCUUUUAGCAAAUUACGCAAAAAAUGCUUUAAAAUGUUUUCGUCUCAUCUGUUUAACUCUUAACGGACAAAACAAGGACCUCAGUGUUGACCUCACAUCAUUACAUUUGGUAACAGAAACAAAUUGGAUUACAGGAUAAUUUAAUUACACGGACAGACUUUGGAUCAGUCUUGUUUUUUGUUGCCGAGUCUGGACCUUGGCGUAUCAGACAAAGCUUGUCUGGUGAUGUUAAUACUCUGCCUUGAGUGUAGCUAACAGCAUCAGAUCUAGUCAUCUUUGGUGUGCACACACAACUCUAUUAGAUUGAAGCCUCUACAGACAGGCUAAUGUCUGUAAAUCUGCCCUCGAGUUAGUCAAGAAACAGAUCCUGUAAUAUUUAGUUGAUGUCAUAUGCAGCAAAGCUGAGACGACAGGUGGAUAAGCACGGUGUUUAUGAAACUGGUUCAUCAAAAUAAGCAUCAAGUGACAUCCCACACACACACACACUCACUGAAAGCUUCAUUCUAUAGGGUGCCCUGCAGGCUACACAUUCUUAGAAGAGUACAUUUUACUUAAAUAACCUUUGAUUGAUUAAUAAAGUUUUUACAACAUAUUUGAAAAAGACUGCAGAUGCAGAUUUAUAUCAGCAGGUGGCAGAGUUGAGCUUGUAGCUGACAAAUAAGACUUAUUUAACUUAAAUAUAGUACACAGUAACAAUGUUUAACAUCAGGACUGUUUAUAAUUAAUUAAUUAUUCUGUAACUUUCAGACAUCAGUCAAAUGCAGACACUAAAUAAGCUCAAUCUCCUACUUGAUCGAUCAGUCAUGAUUAAUAAAUAAACACCACGAGGACCAUAACUUCUACAGGAGCCUGGUUGUCCAGUGCAGUGUUGUUUUCAUUAACGCCCCUUUUUCACAUAAUGAAAACGAGAUGCUGACGAGAUAAAAAUAUAGCUCUUUGGUGACUAAAACAUGACGAGACGUGCGGGAGUUUUCGCUGACGAGACGAAACGAAAAUUAUGCUCAAAAUGUAUCAUAAUUGAUAACGAAGACUUUUGUUUUACAGACAUCUUUUGCUGCCGGUGUGUUUUACCCUCAUUCUGCAAUCUUUACUUGUGCCGACUUUUAAAACACCACAGCGGCGGGGGUGUGCAUCAUUCAGAAAGCCUAAAGAUCGGAGCAUUCUUGCAAAAUGAAACAUUUUAAUAUUUGUUUUUCAUUGAUUGCAAUGAUUUAGUGAGUGUUUGGGGCUAAAAUUCAAAUGCAGAUGAGGGACACGGCCCAAAAUCAAUUUUAUUUUACCUUAGUAGUUGCAUCAAAAGUUAGAUUUAAAUACAACUGGUAUUUUUGUACAUUAGAUGCAUCUACAGAGUGAGUAGAGAGAAUAUUAUAGGCUGUUGAGGCCUGCAGGGUUUUGUGGGAGAAGAAUUUGUAAUGAUAAUGUAACUGACAUAAUAAAGUUGUUAUCUGAGGUAGAGCUGAAAGUAACAGAGAAGAUUUUGUUUAUGUAGAGCUAAAGAACAAGCUCUCAUGCAUCUUUUAGUCUCCUCUUUCUUUUACCAUUCAGCAUCUCAGUUCUCCUAAAACAAACAUACAAUAGUCCUCCCAACAUCCCCCUAGCAUCUUGUCCGUAUUCCUAUUCACUCCACGGCGCCAUCACCUCACCAGAAUCCACUCUGAGUGCUCGGCUUGCCACUCUGUCUCAUUUAACUCACUGAGCUUUCUUCAGCUCUGAAGAUGUCAUUAAAGAGGCACCACGUUUCCUCUGGCGGUCCUCCCGUCAUUCAUAUCUUCCAACAGCUCAGACAUGCUGAAGCUGAUCAUGCUGCUGCUACCAGCCUUUUCCUUUUCCCUGCCUUUAUCACACCACCUGCAGUUACAGUGAAGCAGGUAUUGUUUUACCCGUUCUGUCCAGAAGCAGAGCGGUUGUGUCAAAGUGUCUCUGACUUGGUGGAAAAGGUGGUUAUUGAGCUAAAGUGACAUAUGUGAAUUAGGAGAAACACGAUACCACUCUUACCAAUAAUGUUGUUGUUUCUCAUGAAGAAAAAACAGCAUCAAAACAAAGGUUAAGGAGGCUUGUUUAGUUCCACAGUGGACUAAUAUCAAGGUUUCGAAGCAUUAAAUGAGUUAACAAAAAUGUAAGUCUUAAAUGGCAUUAAAAAGCAUUGCAUCUGUUGUUUUAAAGUGAUAAAAAUAUAAAUGGUGGUUCACUCUUAAGUUGUGUAUUAGCAUCAACAUGUGCACCAUAUCAGCAACAGCUUCUGACCUGUCAUAAUACUGGACGUUUGAACAGAACUGGCGUACGUGGGAGCAGGAGUUUGAGGAAAGAUAAAGACAACAAAGUUUAUCUCUUAUUAAAUAUAAUAUCAACUAAGAAAGAGAACAUUUCUUAGAAGAAAUCACAAUGUAGCUGUAGAAAUACUAAUUGGUAUAUAUGUUGUGUGGGGUGCGGGCUACAUGCUGUAAAGACUCAUACUAGUCAGUGACUCGAUGCAAAUGUUUACUUUGUGAAGUGCCUUGAGAUGACUCGUCAUGAUUUGGUGCUAUAUAAUAGAUAAAGUGAAUUAAAUGGAAAAAAUUACAAAUGGGCUGGAAUUUAGGAGAUGGCUGCAACUCGUCAAUGAUCAAGGUGAUGGAUUUUGCAGUGUUUGUAUAAAGAAAAGAAAAAAAGAAUAAUGAAGUAUGGUACAAUGCUAACAUGCAGUUGCCACAAGCAGCACAACUAUCGUUGCAACACAAAGCAUCAUUGGUUCAUAUAUAGAGACGCUCUAGUGUCUAGUAUAGUGCUAUUUUGUAGGCCUGGAAUAUACUUGAUGUUUAACCUUGGGUUGGCGCAGGCUGUGUCUUUGAUCACUUGCUGCUACACCGCACUGCACCACAUGCAGUACUGGAGCUUUCCACUGGGGGCGCACUAGAAAACUCAGACCAGAUAAAGUGCCGGGUUUGUAGGUCCAACCAAAACAAACAUGGUGUCAAUAAAAGAGCUCACUUACUGGUUAGGUCAUCAUGGUGAGUGUGUCUGGCUCAUUUUGUCAGCUUCACCUACUGGUUACAUGCGUGUGGCAGCGUUAAAACUCGUCGCUUUAAUUUUGGGGGAUGCGCACAAGCAAAGCUUCAAAUCAAUGCAAGUAACGCGUGGCAGCCAUCUUAAACAUGCGCUCGCGCCGUUAAACAGCAAUGAGUGGUUUGUUGGUUUGUUUGUGUUACAAAUGGCAUUAAAAACAUUCAAUCAGAUGGGCUGAUUUCUGCAGAAACCCUGGAUCUGGGGGAAUCUUAACAACCAGAAUACUCACAUAAGCUUCGUAGUCACAGGACUGAAAGAUGAGCUUCUCCGGGUGAUGCUGCCAAUACUGCACAGGAGUGGACGAGGUCGCCUCGUUGGGUGGACGCAACGUGAUUGGCUCACACCACUCACCUGCCUGAGAGAGCAACCGUUGACGCAUCAGAAUGUUAAUAAUAGCAAGGUGUUGACGUGAUGGAUGUGUGAAUAUUUUAAAUGAAACAUUGAAUUUUACUUGGGGGAUUCUUCCAGCUGGGGCGUGCUUGUGCUUCUGAGCUCAGCCUAAAUCACUUCAUCACUUUUCAGACUCGGUGAGCCUUCACCUUUCUAACCAGAGGAUUCACCUAGACUACAUCCUUCUCAAACAUCUGCAGUUUUGCUUUGGCUUCAUUCUUUUCUAAUUGAGAUUUUUUUUUUCCUCAAAAUAUUCGCCUACCCUCUGUGUCCAUAUCUGACUGUUUUUGUUUGCCAGAGACUUGGUGAAGGAAUGUGGAAGGCAGAUGUUGGAUAAACAUCCCCAAAUUAAGUGUUCAGUCACACCGGCAGGCCAAGUUCAGGUCAAAUUCCACCGAUUUCACGUUUAGAGCUUUUAUUUAAACUUUAGCCCAAUUAAAGAAUAAAAACAGAAGCUAAGAAAAGUUCUUUGUAGAACAGAGGAAGCGCCACGGUGACUGAAAGGUAACCCGUCUGAACAACAAACAGAACAUUACAGCAGGGGUAAUGCCACAGAGAGACCCAUCCUCCCUUCUGUGAUAGUUACCCUUCUAUUCUUGCCAGGCUGACUCACCAGCGCCUGCUCAGAGUGUUGAUUUGAGAAUGGAGGAAAUUCACUCUGACACAUGCAUAUUUGGGAUUCACCAGUGUGUGUUUUUCUGCGGCGAUAAGCCCUGUGAUUCACGCCGUCACACAAAAAGACCCUAAUCAGAGUAAACCAGAACACAGCUGCACUGAUAAGUGGGUGUGGAUCUUUGUAAUGGUGCUGAUUCAAAAGUUAUAGAUCUGCAUUUUAGACGACAUCCGGAGAUAUUUAAUGUUUGUUUGAAGAUAUUGCAGGAAAAUCCUGGUUUCAUAAAUACAUCUGGAACUUUCUUAACACAUGUUUGGAAACAUGUCAGAGUGCCAGCUACGCCUAGUUUUAAAUCAACAUUUUACAGUCAUUUAAAUAUCUCUGAUUUCCUUUAUAUUUAUUAGUCCUUAAAGCUGCUUUCCGGCGUUUUCCUCUUUCAGAAAUUAUGUAUGAUUUGUCAGAAAUCUGUAAAAGUGAUUAUCUUAUCAUGUACUGUGAUGUAAUAUAAGCAAUACGUCUAUUUAUUUAUUUGCUAAGCACGCCCCCUGCCCGGCAGAGCUCCGUGCAAUAAGAAACUGAGUGCCGACCAGAACAAACCAAUAGCGUUAGACUGCCGCUUAGACCAGGGGUGUCAAACAUGCGGCCCGCGGGCCUAAUCCGGCCCGCAAGUGGGUUAAAUCCGGCCCGCGAGAUGGUUGUGUAAACUUUAUUUUCAUACUUUACAAUGUAGAGUGAAAAUAAACAUCUUUGUGAGCAAGUUUCCUCUGUAAUGAGUAUAAAUAAAACAAAGCUGCGCUCAAGGCUCACACAAGAAUUUGAAUCCCAUCCUGAAGUUGUCUGCCACUCAGGAUGUGACUUCUGAUGUUGAUGUGCUGGUGAAAGCUAAAAGAUUUUAAGUAAAAUGAGUCAAAUAUACUUUAAGUGCUGCAUGAAACUGAUCUAGCCAUGUGACCUGUAAGCUCUUUGAAUCACUAAGGAAUGUUUUUUUAAUUUGCUGAUUUUUUUUUUUCAAAUGUUCCCACACUUCAGGUGUUGUACUUGUACUACACUGUCCUCAGGCUCCAGCCUUGUUUUAUAUUGAUUGUAUUAAAACAAAGAAAACAAUCUGAAUUUUUUAUUUUAUUUACCGGUCCGGCCCACUUGGGACUAGAUUUCCCUCACUGUGGCCCCUGAGCUAAAAUGAGUUUGACACCCCUGGCUUAGACGCUUCAAAUUUAAGGAAUACCUCGGCUGAUGCAGAGUUGAUGAACUUUUCACGGACAAGUAAGUCUCAAAAGUAUAAAUAUAUGAGAACACAACAUGACAUGAGAAUAAUACUCGUAAAACGUCGUGUUUUAGCUGUUUGUCGGCUACAGAAGCACAUUUAUAAACAGAAACUUGAAGUCUCCAUCUUAAAAAAACUAAGGAACAGCGUUUUUGUGUGAUAUGCUUGUCAGCCACUAGAUGGUGCCAUUAGAUAAGAGAAAUACUCCGGAAAGAAGCUUUAAAUUCGAAUAAGUCCUUUCAUUUACAAUAACAGAUUAGACUGAUCCUAAGGGACAAACAGGAACUGAGUUUAAAAGUAAACAUGCAGAAAUGUAAUGAAAAGCUUUUCGAUAUCGUUUUUAAAGGACUUUAAAACUACUUUUAGAAGCAUUUUGUUUGAUUUUCUCUGAUCAAACCCUCAUAUCUGUGGUUAUCUACUGACUAAUUCAUCCAUGAGUUUCCCCCUUCCCUCCUCACCACGCUGACUUGAGCCAUCUGUCGCUCCAGCUUAGAUCGCGGUACAUCCUCGAAGUAGUUCUCGGUGCUGCGCUGCCUGCGCCGGGCGUCCGCCUGCAUGAUGAGGUGCUGCACGUCCAGAGAUCCGCCAGGGACCCCCGCUGUAUACGCUUGCUGGCCGACCGAAGGGCUGAGCUGGGGAGGGGUGUGGUUUCCCGCGGGCUCCUGGUGCAGCAGAUCGGUGAGGUGGAAGGAAAACAAGUGAGGCUUCGUUCAUCAUUUCAUUAUGUGCUGUGUCAUUGUGGCUCACACGCAGGGCAGCACAGAGUUAUAUGUCACAUUUUAUUUUCAGCUUCAACUCGCUGCUGGUCCUUUUGUGUGACGCCACUUAAUAACAGGUCUGUCUUCGGGUAUUUUAGUUCAAUGUUGGUGAGAUCCUCAUACAGUUGAUCAGUUUAUCAAACCUGUGAAGAGUAUAAAAUGUGCUCUUGGUUUAUUCAUUCAUAUCAUCUUUAGCUGCAAUCACAGUUGCAGGUUUAAUGUUCAUAUCAGACUCACAAUUCAGGGAGGACAUCACAUACCAAGUACGGGAUUGAGCAGAACUGAACCUAAUAUUUUAUUUUUAGGAUAAAACAGUUUUCCACUCACCGUUAAUAUUUUAUUUUAUGUCCUGAAAAAUUUUUUUUUUAAUUCCAUCACAAGUUUGUCACCGAGUUACACUAGAACAAGUUGUCCUUGGAUAAAUCCACUAAUUUGUGUUUUUCUUCUUUGAAGGGCUCGAGUCACACAUUGGUUGUUUGGACAGACCGAGAUGAGAGCAUGAGUGAAACCUCUACUGCUGCAUAGGAUUUCCUUUGGCUCAGAGUCGAUUUUUCUAUGGACAUGAGGGAGUUGUACACUGUAAAAAAUAGCGGUAUAUUUAACAGUGAUAAAUCGUAAAACCAUGACAGGAAAAAUCCAUCAGCUAGAAAAUUAUCUUAAACUGUUGAUUUUAUGUGAGGUUGCUGUAUAUAAACGAAUUGGUGAAAACAGUCUUUUUAACACUUUUUCUAUGUAAAAAAAUAUAAAACUCUACUGUAAAGCA
Nothobranchius furzeri (turquoise killifish) is the source of this 16187-nucleotide non-coding RNA. The record is from RefSeq and is a predicted model, not a curated record. NCBI's taxonomy places the organism in Eukaryota, Metazoa, Chordata, Actinopteri, Cyprinodontiformes, Nothobranchiidae.